GGAAGCGUGCCCGAAACCACAAGGACUACUUUGAUAAAGUAAACAUGGAGCUCACAAUACUCCCACUUCCC
RNAcentral lists this transfer RNA (71 nucleotides) under Physignathus cocincinus. Its description in RNAcentral is "tRNA-Ile". Lineage: Eukaryota; Metazoa; Chordata; Lepidosauria; Squamata; Agamidae. The record is from RNAcentral.